RNAcentral lists this ribosomal RNA (368 nucleotides) under uncultured organism. RNAcentral's name for it is "partial 16S ribosomal RNA". It matches the Rfam family "Bacterial small subunit ribosomal RNA", at positions 527 to 896 of the family's 1533-position model. The record is from RNAcentral.
GGAGGUGGCAAGCGUUGUUCGGAUUUAUUGGGUGUAAAGGGCAUGUAGGUGUCCUAGCAAGUUCUGAUUGAAAUCCUUCGGCUCAACCGAAGAACGUGUCAGAAUACUGCUGGGAUUGAGUGCGGAAGGGGAGAACGGAAUUCCCGGUGUAAGGGUGAAAUCUGUAGAUAUCGGGAGGAACACCAGUGGCGAAGGCGGUUCUCUGGUCCGCAACUGACACUGAAAUGCGAAAGCUAGGGGAGCAAACAGGAUUAGAUACCCUGGUAGUCCUAGCCGUAAACGAUGGGCACUAGGUGUAGGCCCCGCAAGGGUCUGUGCCGCAGUUAACACAUUAAGUGCCCCACCUGGGGACUACGGCCGCAAGGUUG